Molecule: long non-coding RNA, 2289 nt
Organism: Cydia pomonella (codling moth)
Lineage: Eukaryota; Metazoa; Arthropoda; Insecta; Lepidoptera; Tortricidae
Exons: 2
Source: RefSeq, a predicted model, not a curated record
UAUGGAUCACUUUAACCAGUGCUGAAAAGGAAAACACAUGUUUUGUGGAGAAAGACGGACCCCUAUUUUUAACUCCCUCCGCAAAAAGAGAGAUAAGUUUUACCGUUAUGUAUGUGUCUGUCUGUAGGUUCGCGUGUGACACCGUAGCUCUUAAACCGGUGAACCGAUUUGGAUGCAUUUUUUUUGUAAUAAUGAAGUUAGGACUUUAGAAUCUAUCUUUAGUAUCUAAAAAGAUCAAUCGAGGUGUUACCAAAAAAACAGAAGAAGGUACAUCAUGAGUCAAGGCGGUUAUGUACUUACAGGUUUUCCCUUCCUAAGCCCGACGAAGAAAGAGUCCAAGUGUGUAAGAAAAUUUUUCUGGUCACUUUUGACAUUUCCGAUCAUCAAGUGGCCAGUAGUUUUAAAGACGAAAGAAUGAAUGUGCCUCAACCUACUUGUAAAGGUAAUAGAGGUAGAAAAAGAGUGAGUAGUGAAGAAAUUAAAUAAUAAUAAGGGAACGUCUAAAGUACUAAAUAUUGUUUACUAAUUAAUUUACCCUAAAUUAAACUAAAGCUUACCUAAAAAACCUCAGAUGGGCAUCCAUUAUAUUAUGAAUGGCCCGUAUGUUAAGUGUAUAUUUUAUGUUUUAAUUUAUACCGUAAGGUGUCUGGAAUAAGAUAAAUAUUGUGGUAAGAGAAACACUUGUACUGUUUCUCUUGCCCCGAACAAAUAAACUACGUUUGUACAUGACUUGACUGUAGAUGACCUUAUACAUAAUUUAUUUGAGAUUUUUUAGUUUUACCUUUUUAUAAGAUUAAUCUUUGCUAUUUUUACUUAUUUAAAGUGUUGGUUUUUAACAGGACACCUCAAUAAUUGGCGAAUGAUCACUACUUCAGAAAAACAUAACCGGCAACGAAUGAUAAACAUGAAGCCGGGAUGUUACAAUUCCUGUCGUUUCGAAUGUUCAAAAAUUUUCCCUUAUGAAAUAAGGUUGAUAUUUUUCAACGAAUAUUGGAACUUGAAGAAAAACGAACAUCGUAGAGAGUAUUUAAAAAGAUGCGUGGAGAUGGUACCAAUAAAACGGAAGAGAGUUCUUGAUUCAUUCAGGCGGUUAUGCAGUUACAGAUAUUCUCUGCCUAAGCCUGACGGAGAAAGAGUCCAAGUGUGUAAGAAAACGUUACUGAACACUUGAUAUUUCGGAUCAUCGGAUGACCAAUAUUUUUCAAGAAGAAAGAAUGAAUGUGUCUCAACCUACUCGUAAAAGCAAUAGGGGUAGAAAAAAAUGAAGAGUGGUGAAAGAGUGAUAUAAAAAAAAAUGCAGUAGAAACUAUUUAGCAGUAUGUUAUAGAAAUUAAAUAUGAAUAAAAGAACGUUGAAAAUUUCAAAUAUAAGUUGCAAAUGAAUUUCACCCAAAUUGAAAUAAAACUUUACCUAACCCAAAAAAGCUUGUCACAAAUCCCACCCCGCGUCAUUCCAGGCGCAAAGGUGCCCAUUGCGCUUGACACAUUGAACCCUAAUGGACAACACUUACUUUUUACACCACAAAAUUCUAAUUGUAUCGUAAGGUAAGGUAAACUCAGAUAAUUAGAUACGGCAAGAGGAAAAUUCGGACAAGAAAAACACAUUUAGGGAAUCCUCAUAACGUUUCUCACUAUGUAAAUGUUUUAGGGGUAGCAGUGAUCCUCCAAACACGCACGGGCAAGCCACUGCUGAAGAUCAACAACCACAGAUACAACCUAAAGCGGCAGAAUCUGAUGGUUCGCAAGGCGUACUGGACCUGCAACAAGGCUCCGAGAGGCUGCAGGGUCAAUAUCACCACCUUUGAUGAUGUCAUCAUCAAGGUUGCUAAUGAGCAUAAUCAUCCUUAAUCUUCUGAUAAAUGAAUAACAAUUGGUGCGAUAUGGUGCAAUACGGUGUUUCGAAAUUCGGUACCAACAUACUGGUGAUACAAGGCCACCGGUUCUACAGGAACAAGAAGACGAAGACGAAGGACUACUGGGUGUGUUCGAAGCACCGAGAGGGAUGCAAGGCGAAGGCGACAACUAUUGAGGACGAAGUUCUGUCAGUCACCAAUGUGAUCCACAAUCAUUAGUGAAAUGUUUUUUUUAUCUGAAUCUCAUUCAUGUCCCAUGUAAAUUGUCUGUCUUGUUAAUUUUGUUAUUUAGAUAAUUUUUUUUUGUUUAAUUAUUAGAAUAAGAAGGUAAUGUACAUGAAUUUUUUGGUACAAGCCAACAAACUGAACUUAAUCUAAUUAAUAUACAAACAUAUUUAAUAAAGCUCAGCCCUUUAUCGCCCACUCCUUUCUUCCAG